Molecule: non-coding RNA, 72 nt
Organism: Phrynosoma platyrhinos (Desert horned lizard)
Lineage: Eukaryota; Metazoa; Chordata; Lepidosauria; Squamata; Phrynosomatidae
Source: the annotation of a GenBank genome assembly
GCCAGCGUGGUGUAGUGGUUUGAGCACUGGACUAUGACUCUGAAGAACAGGGUUCAAAUCCCUACUCGGUCA